RNAcentral lists this ribosomal RNA (253 nucleotides) under uncultured bacterium. RNAcentral describes it as "partial 16S ribosomal RNA". It matches the Rfam family "Bacterial small subunit ribosomal RNA", at positions 524 to 776 of the family's 1533-position model. The record is from RNAcentral.
UACGUAUGGAGCAAGCGUUAUCCGGAUUUACUGGGUGUAAAGGGUGCGUAGGCGGCACAGCAAGUCAGAUGUGAAAGACCGGGGCUCAACCCCGGGGCUGCAUUUGAAACUGCCGAGCUUGAGUCCGGGAGAGGCAGGCGGAAUUCCUAGUGUAGCGGUGAAAUGCGUAGAUAUACGGAGGAACACCAGUGGCGAAGGCGGAUUGCUGGACGAUAACUGACGCUGAGGCGCGAAAGCGUGGGGAGCAAACAGG